UUUGGUACGGUACAAAUGCAAAUCUUUUGUGAAGGCAGGCAACAAAUCAGCUUUUGAUGAGCUAUGAGAUUGACUCCUACUUAAUGCUUAUGAUGUUGAGGUGUUCUGAUAACUUCAGCUGAUUCCUCAAUAUUAUAAAUUCCUGGUGGCAUCAUCAUGGCUUAGCUGGAGCAGAAUGGUAAAAACGAUGUCGGUGUUAGAACAGAAUAGACUGGUUUCAGCUGGAAGAGACCUACAAUGAUCACCUAGUCAAAUUAAUCAAAAAGGAUUCAGAAACUCACUCUUUCCUCCUUGUGGCUCACACUACAAGCUGGAAGAGGAAAAUGCUGUUGCUGCUGCUGCCCCACAGUUCUGUGCAGGAGAGGACAGGUUGAGGUUCUCCAUGCGAGCCCCACUGCUCAUGUUUGCAUCAGGCAAGUAUUGCAUAUUACCUCACUUCUUGCUUUUAAGCAGUUUCUGCCCAGCAGUCAGAUUGCAAGUCGCUUUUCUGAGUGCCUGGAUUGUGCUGC
Long non-coding RNA from Columba livia (rock pigeon), 509 nucleotides. RefSeq lists it as uncharacterized. The record is from RefSeq and is a predicted model, not a curated record. The transcript has 3 exons. Lineage: Eukaryota; Metazoa; Chordata; Aves; Columbiformes; Columbidae.